RNAcentral lists this non-coding RNA (804 nucleotides) under Pan troglodytes (chimpanzee). Lineage: Eukaryota; Metazoa; Chordata; Mammalia; Primates; Hominidae. The record is from RNAcentral.
CAGUAUGAUCAUGAUGACGAUGUUGAUGAUACUGCUGCUGCUGCUGUCUGUACUACGCAAUACCAAUGGCCACCAAGAAGUCAAGACACUCUGGAGAAGACUCCAAAGACCUCUGAGGGUACUGAGAUGACCAGUGUAGAAGAGACCAAUAAGCUACCUCACCUACUGCCUAGCACAUGGCUGGGGGUGGUGCUUCCUGCCUCAGCUUGGGCCUGGCACACAGUCGGUAUUUGGGCAUGGAGCUGGCACCAUCACUUCCCACCGAGAUGCACAAACAAAAUGUCUGAGCAGCUUUCUCCCAAUCCUGGGCCUUCCCUCCACCCCAGGAACCCAGCACCUCACUUUGUCCCACUGUGUGGCCCCCUGCCCCACACUGGCCUUCCCUGCAGGGGCCCACACGCCAUCAACCCUCGUCUCCCCCACUGCAGGCUGGGGGCACCAGUGGCGGCUGACCUGGGUACUGGUUCACUGGACACAGAGGCUUUGGCCAAGGCACUGCCGCCUGCUGAGCUUCGGUUUCCUGGCCUGUAAAAUGGGGCUAUAAUCUCUGUCUGCUUCAGGACUUAAUGUGAAGCGGCUGUGCAAACUGUGGAGUGCGGUGCCAUGAAGCUCUGGUGCAGACCUACUCUGAGCACCUGCCUAGACUUUCUUACAGUGGUGUCCUCCCUAGCUUGGGCUCCUUGGGCAGUGAGGUGGGCUGGGGCAGGUGAGCCUCUCCAACAGACAUUGAAACACCUGCAACCCUGGGGCCUGGGGUGGUGGCUCACGCCUGUAAUUCCAACACUUUGGGAGGCCAAGGUGGGA